Molecule: ribosomal RNA, 466 nt
Filed under: uncultured bacterium
Lineage: Bacteria
Description: partial 16S ribosomal RNA
Rfam family: Bacterial small subunit ribosomal RNA
Source: RNAcentral
GAUGAACGCUGGCGGCGUGCUUAACACAUGCAAGUCGAACGAUGAAGCCCAGCUUGCUGGGUGGAUUAGUGGCGAACGGGUGAGUAACACGUGAGUAACCUGCCCUUAACUCUGGGAUAAGCCUGGGAAACUGGGUCUAAUACCGGAUAGGAGCGUCCACCGCAUGGUGGGUGUUGGAGAGAUUUAUCGGUUUUGGAUGGACUCGCGGCCUAUCAGCUUGUUGGUGAGGUAAUGGCUCACCAAGGCGACGACGGGUAGCCGGCCUGAGAGGGUGACCGGCCACACUGGGACUGAGACACGGCCCAGACUCCUACGGGAGGCAGCAGUGGGGAAUAUUGCACAAUGGGCGAAAGCCUGAUGCAGCGACGCCGCGUGAGGGAUGACGGCCUUCGGGUUGUAAACCUCUUUCAGUAGGGAAGAAGCGAAAGUGACGGUACCUGCAGAAGAAGCACCGGCUAACUACGUG